GUAUUCCUUUCCAGGCGUGGGACUUUUUCCAAACGCCCAAUUUGCUCCCUCCCCUACUGGACACACACCUCGGGUUCCUGGCAUCUCAGUGCCUUGGAAACUUUUUUUUUUCUUUUUAAAUAGAGACGGGGUGUCGCCGUGUUGCCCAGGCAGGUCUUGAACUCUUGGCUUCUGGCUUCAAGUGAUCUUCCAGCCUCGGCCUCCCAAAGUGCUGGGAUUACAGUCAGCCACUGCACCGGAAAUGUUUUCAACCGUGACCCAUAAAGUUCAAUCAUCCAUCAAACACAGUGGACACCAGGCCAGGCAUGGUGUGGCUCAUGGCUGUAAUCCCAGCACCUUGGGAAUGUGAGGCAGGCAGAUCACUUGAGGUCUGGAGCUCGUGACCAGCCUGGUCAACAUGGUGAAACCCCAUCUCUAAUAAAAAUGCAAAAAAUA
Non-coding RNA from Homo sapiens (human), 435 nucleotides. The record is from RefSeq and is a predicted model, not a curated record. Lineage: Eukaryota; Metazoa; Chordata; Mammalia; Primates; Hominidae.